Molecule: long non-coding RNA, 507 nt
Filed under: Homo sapiens (human)
Lineage: Eukaryota; Metazoa; Chordata; Mammalia; Primates; Hominidae
Description: HSALNT0222830
Source: RNAcentral
AUGCCUUGGCCUAAGAUCCAAAGCCUUAAGUGACUGGCCUUUGCCUCUUUGCCACUGGCAUGUCCUCGCUCUUUAUCCAAACACAGGUCAAGCCACAGAAGUUACUGGGAUUCCCAGAACGUAUUUGCAUGCGUUUCUGUCCCUGCGUCCAUCUCCAUUUUCUCCCAAGCAUUCUUUAAGCCCAAGUACCACAGUCAAUCUCUCUGACUCCUCCAAGAAAAGGCCAUUGCAGCCAUGAUUAGUGAAGGGCUGCAGAUACACAAGUAAGGUGGGAUGCACUGCAACUCACCUAGCAUCCUCCCAGGGCUUACUCUGCCAUAGGAUCUCUGGUGCCAGACCUAAAAAUGUGUGCGGAAGGAAUGGAGGCAGGUGGGACAUAUGUCUGAAGCCAAGGCCAGGAGCUCUCCAUUAUACCAUAUGGCCUCAAAGGCCCUCCUUGGUUCAAAGACACUUGAUGGAGCAUUUUGUAGAAACAUCAUCUCCUUGGCUUUGUUUAAAAUCAACAUC